UUCAAGAACUUCCGACAGAAGUAUGGCGACAUUUUCAGUCUGUAUGUUUUCCACAAGCCUCUCAUCGUCCUCAACGGCUACAACGUUAUUAAAGAAGCCAUUGUCAAGAACGCCGACGUCUUCUCCGACAGACCGCGAUCCUUUGUGACCGAUUUCUUCUCAAAGGGAAAAGGAGUAGUCGGAACCUCCGGGGACUUGUGGCAUGAACAGAGACGAUUUGCUCUCAAUGCUCUGCGAGAGUUUGGAAUGG
Molecule: long non-coding RNA, 250 nt
Organism: Haliotis rubra (blacklip abalone)
Lineage: Eukaryota; Metazoa; Mollusca; Gastropoda; Lepetellida; Haliotidae
Exons: 2
Source: RefSeq, a predicted model, not a curated record